RNAcentral lists this ribosomal RNA (458 nucleotides) under uncultured bacterium. RNAcentral's name for it is "partial 16S ribosomal RNA". It matches the Rfam family "Bacterial small subunit ribosomal RNA", at positions 338 to 795 of the family's 1533-position model. The record is from RNAcentral.
CCUACGGGAGGCUGCAGUGGGGAAUAUUGGACAAUGGGGGAAACUCUGACGCAGCGACGCCGCGUGAGUGAAGAAGUUCUUCGUUAUGUAAAGCUCUAUCGUCAGGGAAGAAAUACUUACCUUACGCUCAGCAGUCUGUACCUGCUUACUACGUGCCGGCUACCUACGUGCUAGCAGCCGCGGUAAUAUGUAGGGGGCAGGCGUUAUCCGGAUUUACGGGGGGUAAGGGUACCGUAUACGGUUCACCAAGUCUGGACUGAAAUGCCGCGGCUUAACUGCGGCUCUGCUUUGGAAACUGGAGGACUAGAGUGCGGGAGGGGUAAGCGGAAUUCCUAGUGUAGCGGUGAAAUGCGUAGAUAUUAGGAGGAACACCGGAGGCGAAGGCGGCUAACUGGACUGUAACUGACGUUGAGGCACGAAAGCGUGGGGAGCAAACAGGAUUAGAUACCCCUGUAGUC